Molecule: ribosomal RNA, 253 nt
Filed under: uncultured bacterium
Lineage: Bacteria
Description: partial 16S ribosomal RNA
Rfam family: Bacterial small subunit ribosomal RNA
Source: RNAcentral
GACAGAGGGUGCAAACGUUGUUCGGAAUUACUGGGCGUAAAGCGCGUGUAGGCGGCUAAGUAAGUCGGGCGUGAGAUCCCACGGCUCAACCGUGGAAGUGCACUCGAAACUGCAUAGCUAGAGUCCUGGAGAGGAAGGUGGAAUGCUUGGUGUAGAGGUGAAAUUCGUAGAUAUCAAGCGGAACACCGGUGGCGAAGGCGGCCUUCUGGACAGUGACUGACGCUGAGACGCGAAAGCGUGGGGAGCAAACAGG